GCUGUGGGGUAGCUCAAUCGGUAGAGCAUCUCGAUCUCGGGGUUGUGGGUUCGAGCCCCGCAUUUGGGCA
Podarcis lilfordi (Lilford's wall lizard) is the source of this 70-nucleotide non-coding RNA. The record is from the annotation of a GenBank genome assembly. Lineage: Eukaryota; Metazoa; Chordata; Lepidosauria; Squamata; Lacertidae.